GAGCGUUCUGUAAGCCGUUGAAGGUGAAUCGUAAGGUUUGCUGGAGGUAUCAGAAGUGCGAAUGCUGACAUGAGUAACGACAAAGGGGGUGAAAAACCUCCUCGCCGGAAGACCAAGGGUUCCUGUCCAACGUUAAUCGGGGCAGGGUGAGUCGACCCCUAAGGUGAGGCCGAAAGGCGUAAUCGAUGGGAAACGGGUUAAUAUUCCCGUACUUCUGACUAUUGCGAUGGGGGGACGGAGAAGGCUAGGUGGGCCAGGCGACGGUUGUCCUGGUUCAAGUGCGUAGGCUUGAGAGUUAGGUAAAUCCGGCUCUCUUUAAGGCUGAGACACGACGUCGAGCUGCUACGGCAGUGAAGUCAUUGAUGCCAUGCUUCCAGGAAAAGCCUCUAAGCUUCAGAUAGUCAGGAAUCGUACCCCAAACCGACACAGGUGGUCGGGUAGAGAAUACCAAGGCGCUUGAGAGAACUCGGGUGAAGGAACUAGGCAAAAUGGUACCGUAACUUCGGGAGAAGGUACGCUCUUGAUGGUGAAGUCCCUCGCGGAUGGAGCUGACGAGAGUCGCAGAUACCAGGUGGCUGCAACUGUUUAUUAAAAACACAGCACUGUGCAAAAUCGCAAGAUGACGUAUACGGUGUGACGCCUGCCCGGUGCCGGAAGGUUAAUUGAUGGGGUUAGCGCAAGCGAAGCUCUUGAUCGAAGCCCCGGUAAACGGCGGCCGUAACUAUAACGGUCCUAAGGUAGCGAAAUUCCUUGUCGGGUAAGUUCCGACCUGCACGAAUGGCGUAAUGAUGGCCACGCUGUCUCCACCCGAGACUCAGUGAAAUUGAAAUCGCUGUGAAGAUGCAGUGUACCCGCGGCUAGACGGAAAGACCCCGUGAACCUUUACUACAGCUUGGCACUGAACAUUGAACCUACAUGUGUAGGAUAGGUGGGAGGCUAUGAAGACGUGACGCCAGUUGCGUUGGAGCCGUCCUUGAAAUACCACCCUUGUAUGUUUGAUGUUCUAACUUAGACCCAUUAUCUGGGUUGAGGACAGUGCCUGGUGGGUAGUUUGACUGGGGCGGUCUCCUCCCAAAGAGUAACGGAGGAGCACGAAGGUGGGCUAAUCACGGUUGGACAUCGUGAGGUUAGUGCAAUGGCAUAAGCCCGCUUAACUGCGAGAAUGACGGUUCGAGCAGGUGCGAAAGCAGGUCAUAGUGAUCCGGUGGUUCUGUAUGGAAGGGCCAUCGCUCAACGGAUAAAAGGUACUCCGGGGAUAACAGGCUGAUACCGCCCAAGAGUUCAUAUCGACGGCGGUGUUUGGCACCUCGAUGUCGGCUCAUCACAUCCUGGGGCUGAAGUCGGUCCCAAGGGUAUGGCUGUUCGCCAUUUAAAGUGGUACGCGAGCUGGGUUUAGAACGUCGUGAGACAGUUCGGUCCCUAUCUGCCGUGGGCGUUGGAAGAUUGAAGGGGGCUGCUCCUAGUACGAGAGGACCGGAGUGGACGAACCUCUGGUGUUCGGGUUGUGUCGCCAGACGCAUUGCCCGGUAGCUAAGUUCGGAAUUGAUAAGCGCUGAAAGCAUCUAAGCGCGAAGCGAGCCCUGAGAUGAGUCUUCCCUGAUACUUUAAGUAUCCUAAAGGGUUGUUCGAGACUAGAACGUUGAUAGGCAGGGUGUGUAAGCGUUGUGAGGCGUUGAGCUAACCUGUACUAAUUGCCCGUGAGGCUUAACCAUACAACACCCAAGGGGUUUUGUA
This 1734-nucleotide ribosomal RNA is filed under the name Vibrio cholerae. RNAcentral's name for it is "partial 23S ribosomal RNA". It matches the Rfam family "Bacterial large subunit ribosomal RNA", at positions 1234 to 2925 of the family's 2925-position model. Lineage: Bacteria; Pseudomonadati; Pseudomonadota; Gammaproteobacteria; Vibrionales; Vibrionaceae. The record is from RNAcentral.